GACGAACGCUGGCGGCGUGCUUAACACAUGCAAGUCGAACGGUAAGGCUCCAGCUUGCUGGGGUACACGAGUGGCGAACGGGUGAGUAACACGUGGGUGACCUGCCCUGCACUUCGGGAUAAGCCUGGGAAACUGGGUCUAAUACCGGAUAGGACCGCACCGUGAGGGUGUGGUGGAAAGUUUUUUCGGUGUGGGAUGGGCCCGCGGCCUAUCAGCUUGUUGGUGGGGUAAUGGCCUACCAAGGCGGCGACGGGUAGCCGGCCUGAGAGGGUGGACGGCCACAUUGGGACUGAGACACGGCCCAGACUCCUACGGGAGGCAGCAGUGGGGAAUAUUGCACAAUGGGCGGAAGCCUGAUGCAGCGACGCCGCGUGGGGGAUGACGGCCUUCGGGUUGUAAACUCCUUUCACCAUCGACGAAGGGUUUCUGACGGUAGAUGGAGAAGAAGCACCGGCUAACUACGUGCCAGCAGCCGCGGUAAUACGUAGGGUGCGAGCGUUGUCCGGAAUUACUGGGCGUAAAGAGCUCGUAGGUGGUUUGUCGCGUCGUCUGUGAAAUUCCGGGGCUUAACUCCGGGCGUGCAGGCGAUACGGGCAUAACUUGAGUACUGUAGGGGAGACUGGAAUUCCUGGUGUAGCGGUGAAAUGCGCAGAUAUCAGGAGGAACACCGGUGGCGAAGGCGGGUCCCUGGGCAGUAACUGACGCUGAGGAGCGAAAGCAUGGGGAGCGAACAGGAUUAGAUACCCUGGUAGUCCAUGCCGUAAACGGUGGGCGCUAGGUGUGGGUUUCCUUCCACGGGAUCCGUGCCGUAGCUAACGCAUUAAGCGCCCCGCCUGGGGAGUACGGCCGCAAGGCUAAAACUCAAAGGAAUUGACGGGGGCCCGCACAAGCGGCGGAGCAUGUGGAUUAAUUCGAUGCAACGCGAAGAACCUUACCUGGGCUUGACAUAUACAGGAUCGCGCCAGAGAUGGUGUUUCCCUUGUGGCUUGUAUACAGGUGGUGCAUGGUUGUCGUCAGCUCGUGUCGUGAGAUGUUGGGUUAAGUCCCGCAACGAGCGCAACCCUUGUCUUAUGUUGCCAGCACGUUGUGGUGGGGACUCGUAAGAAACUGCCGGGGUUAACCCGGAGGAAGGUGGGGAUGACGUCAAAUCAUCAUGCCCCUUAUGUCCAGGGCUUCACACAUGCUACAAUGGUCGGUACAGUGGGUUGCCAGUCCGUGAGGGCGAGCUAAUCCCGCAAAGCCGGUCUCAGUUCGGAUCGGGGUCUGCAACUCGACCCCGUGAAGUCGGAGUCGCUAGUAAUCGCAGAUCAGCAACGCUGCGGUGAAUACGUUCCCGGGCCU
Molecule: ribosomal RNA, 1341 nt
Filed under: uncultured bacterium
Lineage: Bacteria
Description: partial 16S ribosomal RNA
Rfam family: Bacterial small subunit ribosomal RNA
Source: RNAcentral